This 276-nucleotide ribosomal RNA is filed under the name uncultured SAR86 cluster bacterium. RNAcentral describes it as "partial 16S ribosomal RNA". It matches the Rfam family "Bacterial small subunit ribosomal RNA", at positions 1257 to 1532 of the family's 1533-position model. The record is from RNAcentral. Lineage: Bacteria; Pseudomonadati; Pseudomonadota; Gammaproteobacteria.
GCGAGGUGGUGCUAAUCCUAGAAAGUUUCUUGUAGUCCGGAUUGGAGUCUGCAACUCGACUCCAUGAAGUCGGAAUCGCUGGUAAUCGCGGAUCAGCAUGCCGCGGUGAAUACGUUCUCGGGUCUUGUACACACCGCCCGUCACACCAUGGAAGUGGAUUGCACCAGAAGUAGAUAGUCUAACCUUCGGGAGGGCGUUUACCACGGUGUGCUUCAUGACUGGGGUGAAGUCGUAACAAGGUAGCCGUAGGGGAACCUGUGGCUGGAUCACCUCCUU